RNAcentral lists this ribosomal RNA (408 nucleotides) under Pseudomonas koreensis. RNAcentral's name for it is "bacterial SSU rRNA". It matches the Rfam family "Bacterial small subunit ribosomal RNA", at positions 59 to 471 of the family's 1533-position model. The record is from RNAcentral. Lineage: Bacteria; Pseudomonadati; Pseudomonadota; Gammaproteobacteria; Pseudomonadales; Pseudomonadaceae.
CAGUCGAGCGGAUGAGGGAGCUUGCUCCUGGAUUCAGCGGCGGACGGGUGAGUAAUGCCUAGGAAUCUGCCUGGUAGUGGGGGACAACGUUUCGAAAGGAACGCUAAUACCGCAUACGUCCUACGGGGGAAAGCAGGGGACCUUCGGGCCUUGCGCUAUCAGAUGAGCCUAGGUCGGAUUAGCUAGUUGGUGAGGUAAUGGCUCACCAAGGCGACGAUCCGUAACUGGUCUGAGAGGAUGAUCAGUCACACUGGAACUGAGACACGGUCCAGACUCCUACGGGAGGCAGCAGUGGGGAAUAUUGGACAAUGGGCGAAAGCCUGAUCCAGCCAUGCCGCGUGUGUGAAGAAGGUCUUCGGAUUGUAAAGCACUUUAAGUUGGGAGGAAGGGUUGUAGAUUAAUACUCUG